This 864-nucleotide long non-coding RNA is filed under the name Homo sapiens (human). RNAcentral's name for it is "HSALNT0080030". Lineage: Eukaryota; Metazoa; Chordata; Mammalia; Primates; Hominidae. The record is from RNAcentral.
GUAGAUCCUAAUGUUGCUCUCCCUGGAGCUGGGCUGCAGGAAGUCUGGGCCCCCGGCUCGCACUCCCGGACCCCGCACCAACCUCCAGGGUCGCUCUCCAAUCUUAACCAGGUUUGCUCCCUGAGCGUACCCAGGUGCUACAGCAUCAGCUUCCCUUGCCGCUUCCUGCGGCUGAAGGGAUGGUCCGACCAAAGCCUCCUGCCCUGGGGCAGCCGAUGCCACUGCAUGCUUUUUCCUGCGCUUGGGCUUCACGGUGCCACGGAUAUUGGCCGGCUUGCUGCGCUUGGAGCGUAGGGUAAUGUACACCACAUUGGGCUGCAGAGUGGACCCAUUGCCCUGGGACUCUGGAGGGGCCAGGGUACCAUCCAGGGGUAUCUCAGGGAAGGAUGGCUCGGCGGUGUCGCGGCUGCGAUGUGGCCCCUUCUCAGCCGCCUGUCCAUGCUGGAGAGAGGCCCUCCCCACCUGGCUCACCAGGAAGCCCAAGUAGAUGGCACACGCAGUGCCCAGCAGAAGGUUUCUCCGGGUCCUUGGACGCCGGCUGCUCCAGAGCUUACGCACCCGCGGGACGCACAGGGAGCAGAUGAACCAGUUUAUGAGCUGCCCCGGCUUGUCUGGACAGGUCAUUUCUCUGCCGCAUCCACAUGUUGAACGGAGUUUAAAGUCUGCAGUUGGCUCCUGCUAAUGUGAUGCAUGGUUUCCUGACUUCAGCUGCCGCGUCCGCUUCGGGAUUAGGAAAAGUGCUUUUGGAGAAAAUCACCUGUCUCCUCAGAACUGGUCUUACAAGUCUGUGAAGUAACACUAUGUGCCAGCCUAAUCACUCAUAUAUGACCUCAAGAGAACACCAAAUAAGCAUAUUUCCAGCAG